UGCAGAUCUUGGUUGGCGUAGCAAAGAUCUAACGGAAAAAAACUCAACAUGCAACGUUGGAUGCUGGAGCGGGGAAGGAUUUCGUGCCAACGGCACUCGUACACGAGUUGUUCGGAUACUGAGCACAACGUUACACCGUUUUGUUAGGAAAGUGAAGGUGUGUCAGCGGUUGGGGUUCCUUACGGUUCCCCUUCCGCCUGGCCAUAACUGAAAAGGGGA
This 219-nucleotide ribosomal RNA is filed under the name Trypanosoma minasense. RNAcentral describes it as "partial 24S alpha ribosomal RNA". The record is from RNAcentral. Lineage: Eukaryota; Euglenozoa; Kinetoplastea; Trypanosomatida; Trypanosomatidae.